CCAAAUUAAGUAUGAAGUUUUAUUUAACAAGACCUAUUUUUGACAAAACCAUGUUAACCAUCGUUAAUUGCAUUCAUUCCUUUAAUUUUUGUAUUAAUUGAAUCCCAUAUCAGAUUACUAGCUUUUCCAUUAAUUUUCCCUGGGGUUUUUGUGAUGAUUGCUGGCCUUAAGUUAGUUGGGUCAUCACAGCUGCCCUUUCAAAAGAAUGGUAAAAUAUUAGUGCUAAUUCAAGAUUUCUCUUAUUUAUCCAGAUUUUUAAACAUAUAGCACUAGACUAAAGAUCUUUGCUUAAGUUUUCUUUCAUCCCACUAUUUUCCCUAACUGUGUGUAAGUAGCUCCUUUGUAGUUCCAAGUAUGUAUAUAUUAGCAUAUGAUGUAAUUGUAUUUUAAUACUUUUACUGUUUGUAAUUUUUUAUGUCUUACACUUUUGAUUACUGUUUAUAAAUACAGAAAGUAAUCAGAGCACUUCCCUCAUACUAGACAGUAUGCAAGUAUGGAAAUUAAUUUGGUUUUUCCUGUUUAAAAUUAAAAUUAAGACAUCCCUAAUUACUGUGGAUACCUUUUGUGCUACAAACUUAGAACUGUUGAAAAUAAAUCCUGCCAUUGGGGCUGAGUGUAUGGGUGUCACCAGAUGGCACUGUUGCAAGUGUCUUGUUGAUUCUUUUGUCUGGAGGAGACUAUAUAAAAAUAGGCCUUGAAAGAUAUACUUAUUUUUUGUUUAGUUUUCCCUUACAGUAGCAUAGGCCAAAUCUAUCAUAAGCUAAAUAUUUUCUCACAGGCAUUGUAGUAGUCCAAAGGUUUUGCUUAUGAACUAGCUAAACAUACUCUCAGACUACAAACCUCUCAAGAGCCAGGCAGCCUAAGCAUUGGCCAAGACUAUGAUGUUCUUCAAUUACCCACAAUGUUUUUGGAAAGUAAGAGUCAUUUUUUAGAGGGCAAGAAGUUUAAGCAUCCUAGCAACAUUCAAAGCAUGCUGAACUACAAAAAUAUGGGAAAGACAUUCUAUUAUUUGCUCCUCUGAGUCAAACAGAAAGUACAGCUGGGUCGCUUCUAAUUCUCAGGAACUGUGGGAUAAGGACAGCCCAAAUACAAAGAAGUACUAAACUGGGUGUUUGGACAGCAGUCACUGCAAAUGGUUGCAACUUUAUUCAUAGAUCAGAUUGUUGGUUCUGCUGCUUGCAGAACUCCCUCACAGCUGGUGAAUGGUGCUACAAAUCCACCUCUGCUCUGAAAAGCUCCUUUUAGGCUAGAAUCUGCAAACGCAUAUGCUCAACUUAAAAUGUGUGAAAUCAGCUGCAUCUCACUGGAGCUGCUUGUAAACUUAAAGGAAUAAAAUGCUUGGGGAAAGGAAAUGUAAAGUAUUUGCUGGAUUAAGACCUUCAGUGCUGCAGUUUGGGUGUUUGUGAUAUACACAAUAUAUAUCAACAGCCAUUAAAAUAUGUUUCAGGAAAGAGUUCUAGAGAUUGAUUGUUUCUUCAAAAAUUACUCCAAAAAUCAAUCAGAACUGUUUUAGAAAUAUGCCUACUAUGCACCAAGAUCUAGUUUUCCUUUUUUUUAACAAAAUUUAUCAAUCCAUUAAGAGGAGACAAGUAAACAAAAAUGAAUUGUCAUUUGUGUUAUUUUAUUAGUGUCACAUGAGAUUACAGCAUAUUAUUGAUUUGAGAAUAUUUUACCCAAGGAGACUUGUUUUAACAUGAACAAAUCAGGAUCAAUACGGGAUAUGCAUUCAUUUUCAUAAAAAGCUACAAGGCAAUAUUUUUUUUCACAAAUCCCAUGAUUAUACUUAUGGCUUUGUAAAAAAACUAUCAUUGUGACCAAAUGAGGACCUAGCUAAGAUUUAAUUAUUAAAAAAUGGAUUAUUAUUUGCAUUGUUGCUUACUUUCCCAGGUGUAUUAUUUACUGACCAAAAGUAAUUUAUGUGCUCACCCGGUUAUAGAGUGAAGUUAGAUUGCCUCUGCAAUUUUUGCUGACUUUGCUGCCUUAGCUUACUUUAUCAAUUCUCUUUUUUUCCCCCCUUUUUUCAUUAGAGAUCGCAUAUAGUUUAAGGGCUGUAAUCUGAAACCUUACAGCUCUAGUGGAUACUUAAAAGACUCAUUGAUACACUUUGAAACCAAGUCAAUUGAACAGCAUUAGCAACAGCAGCAUCUAGCCAUUAGGCUAUUAGGAUCAUUUGCCGAGGCACUAAAAUUAAAUAUAGGGACUCUAGCAAUUCCCCAAUUAUAUUGUGUUUGUAUAAUGGCAGUGAAAAGGAUAUUAUUUUAGUCAGCUCAGUGCUACUAUUGCAAGAAUCGAGAUGCUCUCCAUUUUGCAGGUGUAGGUAUGUAUUGGCCAGGACACUGACAUUAAUUUAAUUCCCUUUGCAAG
This is a long non-coding RNA of Neopsephotus bourkii (Bourke's parrot), 2364 nucleotides long. RefSeq lists it as uncharacterized. The record is from RefSeq and is a predicted model, not a curated record. The transcript is spliced from 4 exons. NCBI's taxonomy places the organism in Eukaryota, Metazoa, Chordata, Aves, Psittaciformes, Psittacidae.